AGCUAAAAACCGCCCUAUGGUGAUGGGCGAGGUGAAGAUUCUGAAGCGUGGUGAAGCGUUGACCAAGCCGAUGCCUUUGAAGGACGAUAACAAAAAGGUGAAUGGUGGAGUAGUUGAAGAUCUGGUGUUGUCAACCACAGAUCGGCUUGGUCCAGAGCCGAAUAUGGUGCCGAAGCAGAUAAGGAUCGGUGAUUUUUAUGCUGGAUCGGCUUUUGUAACCUCGCCGCCUUCGAGCUCUUUGCAUGUGCCGGCUUUCUUCAACAAGAAGAAAAGUGAGAGUACCGACGAUGCUACUAGUGACUUGAGGCGUCUUCUCAGGCUCAAUUUGUGAUGAACGGUGGGAGUAGUUGAACAAUGAAACUUGAGCUUUGUUUGUUGCAGUUAUGGUGAUGAUCCUGGGAAGGUAAAGUGAUGAUGGUGUUGAUGGUCAAUAUGGUCAAAUAACUGGGGUCGGGACGGGUUAUAAAUUUGGGUCGGGCGGGUUUAAACAAUUGACUGGGUGGGCUAAUAAGGAUCGGUGAUUUUUAUGCUGGAUCGGCUUUUGUAACCUCGCCUCCUCCGAGCUCUUUGCCUGUGCCGGCUUUCUUCAGCAAGAAGAGAAGUGAGAGUACCGACGAUGCUACUAGUGACUUGAGGCGUCUUCUCAGGCUCGAUCUGUCAUGAACUGUGGGAGUAGUUGAACAAUGAAACUUGAGCUUUGUUUGUUGCUGUUAUGGUGAUGAUUCUGGGAUGGUGAAGUGAUUGUGGUGUUGAUGGUGAUGGGGGUUUAAGUCUUUGAAUAAGAAGUUUGUGUUUUGCUCCCGGCUCGCCAAAACUUCCCUUAUUUUUUCAAGGGGAAGGACGAGUUUGCGAAGCAAUUUGUCAAAUUUCCUUGUUUAAGU
This 881-nucleotide long non-coding RNA is filed under the name Nicotiana benthamiana. Its description in RNAcentral is "long non-coding RNA (NBEN_LNC035561)". The record is from RNAcentral. Lineage: Eukaryota; Viridiplantae; Streptophyta; Magnoliopsida; Solanales; Solanaceae.